RNAcentral lists this ribosomal RNA (440 nucleotides) under uncultured bacterium. RNAcentral describes it as "partial 16S ribosomal RNA". It matches the Rfam family "Bacterial small subunit ribosomal RNA", at positions 338 to 795 of the family's 1533-position model. The record is from RNAcentral.
CCUACGUGUGGCUGCAGUGGGGAAUAUUGCACAAUGGGGGGAACCCUGAUUCAGCGAUGCCGCGUGGAGGAAGAAGUUUUUCGGAUUGUAAACUCCUUUUAUCAGGGACGAUAAUGACGGUACCUGAAGAAAAAGCUCCGGCUAACUACGUGCCAGCAGCCGCGGUAAUACGUAGGGAGCGAGCGUUGUUCGGAAUUACUGGGUGUAAAGGGAGCGUAGGCGGGACGGCAAGUUAGAUGUGAAAACUGAGGGCUUAAACUUCAGACUGCAUUUGAAACUGCUGUUCGUGAGUGAAGUAGAGGUAAGCGGAAGUCCGAGUGUAGCGGUGAAAUGCGUAGAUAUUAGGAGGAACACCAGUGGCGAAGGCGGCUUACUGGGCUUUUACUGACGCUGAGGCUCGAAAGCGUGGGGAGCAAACAGGAUUAGAUACCCGAGUAGUC